GAUGAACGCUGGCGGCGCGCCUAACACAUGCAAGUCGAACGAUUAAAGCACCUUCGGGUGUGUAUAAAGUGGCGAACGGCUGAGUAACACGUGGGCAACCUGCCCCUUUCAUUGGGAUAGCCACGGGAAACCGUGGAUAAUACCGAAUACUUCGAGACUUCCGCAUGGAAGACUCGAGAAAGCUCCGGCGGAGAGGGAUGGGCCCGCGGCCUGUUAGCUUGUUGGUGGGGUAACGGCCUACCAAGGCAAUGAUGGGUAGCUGGGUUGAGAGACCGACCAGCCAGAUUGGGACUGAGACACGGCCCAGACUCCUACGGGAGGCAGCAGUGGGGAAUCUUGCACAAUGGGCGAAAGCCUGAUGCAGCGACGCCGCGUGCGGGAUGAAGGCCUUCGGGUUGUAAACCGCUUUCAGCAGGGACGAGGCGAAAGUGACGGUACCUGCAGAAGAAGCCCGG
Molecule: ribosomal RNA, 455 nt
Filed under: Lancefieldella parvula
Lineage: Bacteria; Bacillati; Actinomycetota; Coriobacteriia; Coriobacteriales; Atopobiaceae
Description: bacterial SSU rRNA
Rfam family: Bacterial small subunit ribosomal RNA
Source: RNAcentral